Lathyrus oleraceus (garden pea) is the source of this 107-nucleotide small nucleolar RNA. The record is from RefSeq and is a predicted model, not a curated record. Lineage: Eukaryota; Viridiplantae; Streptophyta; Magnoliopsida; Fabales; Fabaceae.
AGUCCAUGAUGUGGGAAUAGCCUUAACAUAUCCUUAUAUCUUUCCCAAGCCUCAAAAAGAGAUUCUUUAUCUUUUUGCCUAAAUCCGUUGAUUUGGCUUCUUACCAU